UUGGGUUCAUGAGUUCAGAAAUAUAAAGUAAUGUUAAUCGUCGUUGUUUACGAUCGAAUUUCUUCCGCCAGACUGAUAAAUUAUCCAUGCGCGCAAUGAAAUAUGUCGCCAUUCGAGUAUUUCGCGUACGUUAGUCCUUUGAGCCGGCCGUUAUACGACUUACCGCGUCAUCUCUUCAUUUCGCUGCGCGGCCCUCGAAGGAAAAUUUCUAAUACAUAAAUAAACAGGUCGUGUGUGCGGAUGUAAACUUUGACGAGAUGUGACCGGCGCCCAACGUGUGCACACGCCGCCCCGCCGUGUGUGUCUACGGCGUCUACAGGUUGUAAAUUCCAACUCAUUUACUGUUUAUGACAUGACAGUUGGAGCGCGCGGAAUAAAACCGUGCGCAAAUAAAAACGCUUGAGGGGAAGCGAAGCACAGCGCGCGAAUAAAAUACUCGUACACACCAGCGACGACGAGAUGUGUUCGCUUCUCCGUUUAAACUUGAGCGCGUAUAGAAUAUUCGGCGGUGUGGCGGGUGCAGUGCACAAACAAAGGAUUCAAUUAUCCUUAGUUUGGGCGAUGUGUGUAUUUGUGUACGUGCUCAUAUCAGGCGCGAGGGCACGUUUCACCUAUGUGAAAUUUUAAAUUGUUGCGCUGGAAAAUCACAAGACGUCAUUAUAUUCCUUCGCUUUUAUUAGUUUCCGGCGCGACUUCCACUUGAGAACUUGCUACAUUGUUUGCGUAUAAUAAAAGUGCAGAUUGUUUGUAAAUUCGAUAGGGGAGAGCAGGUAGGAUUCGUACAGUAGGAGCAUUCGUACAGUCCUUAUUCCUACCACUGUAGAAUACUUUGACAGGUCUGUGUUUGUGUGCGUGAGACCCACUCGCACGCAUAGGUUACUCGCGGGGUGAGACGUCAGUGCAGCCGCCGGCUUCGACGCAACGAGUCGUAACGUGAUUUCGCGCCAAGUAGGGGUGGGGUAGAUUCGUACGUGUACGAAUGCUCCCCGUGCCUGACUGCUCAAACGAACCCACAAGCUUCAACUUCUUCACAACCACAAGCGUUACAAUCCACGCAAGAUAAGCAAUCAAGUUCUGUAGCCGUUCAAGAUUACGAUGUGCCAGAGACCAUACCAGCAGACCCCAUACAGACAGAGUUUAUUCAACAAAACCUUCCAAGUUGUUCAUCAUCUGUGUCUCCAUCUUUGCUAUCACCUACAACAGUAACAGAUUGCUCACCAGCUGUGGGGUUGAUCACCCCAGAGUUAGUCAGGCCAUAUCCUAGAGUGGACAGAGAUUCAAUAAAGAAAACAAGGAAAGGAAAGCUACCAGGCAAAUCUAGAAUUUACACUGAUACUCCGGAAAAAGAUAGACUGGCAGAAAUAGAAAAGGAAGACUAUUGAAGAAGCAAGUGCAAGAGAAAAACAAAAGCUAAGGCCAUCAAAGCUCUACAUCUUGUCUUAGAUGCAGAUAACGCAUCUUCAAUAAAGAGGAAAUCUCAAUCGAAAGAGUCAUUUAAUUUAAAGAAGCAAAAGAAAACUACAAAGACUGAUAAUGAAGCAAAUGCAUAUUAUAUGAUACCUAUGAAUACCUAAAUAAUAUAUCUUGGUUCUUAAUACAAAAAUGCUGAUUCUGUGUUAAAUUGAUCUCAAUAAAUGAUUAAAUUUAAUCAACAA
Molecule: long non-coding RNA, 1655 nt
Organism: Dalotia coriaria
Lineage: Eukaryota; Metazoa; Arthropoda; Insecta; Coleoptera; Staphylinidae
Exons: 2
Source: RefSeq, a predicted model, not a curated record